UACAUAGGUGGCGAUCGUUAUCCGGAAUUAUUGGGCGUAAAGAGCGCGCAGGUGGUUGAUUAAGUCUGAUGUGAAAGCCCACGGCUUAACCGUGGAGGGUCAUUGGAAACUGGUCGACUUGAGUGCAGAAGAGGGAAGUGGAAUUCCAUGUGUAGCGGUGAAAUGCGUAGAGAUAUGGAGGAACACCAGUGGCGAAGGCGGCUUCCUGGUCUGUAACUGACACUGAGGCGCGAAAGCGUGGGGAGCAAACAGGAUUAGA
Molecule: ribosomal RNA, 259 nt
Filed under: uncultured prokaryote
Description: partial 16S ribosomal RNA
Rfam family: Bacterial small subunit ribosomal RNA
Source: RNAcentral